CGCUGGGUUAGUGCGCUGACAACACAGGUGGCGCUGGCGUUAUUGAGCUAGCGCCAAAAAAAUUGCGCAAUUACCCAUGAUUAUUGCUAAGCCAAAUA
Rhagoletis zephyria (snowberry fruit fly) is the source of this 98-nucleotide long non-coding RNA. RefSeq lists it as uncharacterized. NCBI's taxonomy places the organism in Eukaryota, Metazoa, Arthropoda, Insecta, Diptera, Tephritidae. The record is from RefSeq and is a predicted model, not a curated record.